GUGCCAGCAGCCGCGGUAAUACCGGCAGCCCGAGUGAUGGCCGAUCUUAUUGGGCCUAAAGCGUCCGUAGCUGGCUGCGCAAGUCCAUCGGGAAAUCCACUCGCUCAACGAGUGGCCGUCCGGUGGAAACUCCACACCUUGGGACCGGAAGGCUCGAAGGGUACGUCCGGGGUAGGAGUGAAAUCCUGUAAUCCUGGACGGACCGCCGGUGGCGAAAGCGCCUCGGGAAGACGGACCCGACAGUGAGGGACGAAAGCUGGGAUCUCGAACCGGAUUAGAUACCCCGGUAGUCU
RNAcentral lists this ribosomal RNA (293 nucleotides) under uncultured bacterium. RNAcentral describes it as "partial 16S ribosomal RNA". It matches the Rfam family "Archaeal small subunit ribosomal RNA", at positions 455 to 747 of the family's 1478-position model. The record is from RNAcentral.